UACGUAGGCAGCGAGCGUUGUUCGGAGUUACUGGGCGUAAAGGGUGUGUAGGCGGUUCUUUAAGUUUGGUGUGAAAUCUCCCGGCUCAACCGGGAGGGUGCGCCGAAUACUGAGGGACUAGAGUGCGGGAGAGGAAAGUGGAAUUCCUGGUGUAGCGGUGAAAUGCGUAGAUAUCAGGAGGAACACCGGUGGUGUAGACGGCUGUCUGGACCGUAACUGACGCUGAGACACGAAAGCGUGGGUAGCAAACAGG
RNAcentral lists this ribosomal RNA (253 nucleotides) under uncultured bacterium. Its description in RNAcentral is "partial 16S ribosomal RNA". It matches the Rfam family "Bacterial small subunit ribosomal RNA", at positions 524 to 776 of the family's 1533-position model. The record is from RNAcentral.